Long non-coding RNA from Helicoverpa zea (corn earworm), 200 nucleotides. RefSeq lists it as uncharacterized. Lineage: Eukaryota; Metazoa; Arthropoda; Insecta; Lepidoptera; Noctuidae. The transcript is spliced from 3 exons. The record is from RefSeq and is a predicted model, not a curated record.
UUGAUUUUAAAUCAGUACCUAUUACAUAUCAUGUGAACGAACUACGGACUUCAUAACGGAAUAACGCUGCUACGCGCUGCGAACUACGUCGUAGUAAAUCUCGAAUUAAAAAUAGAGGUACUAAAAAGUUAAAAAUAAAAUUAAAGAAAAAAAACCUUUUUAAAAACAAGCUUUUAUUUAAAUGCCCUAAAAAGAAAAAA